This is a long non-coding RNA of Lolium rigidum, 333 nucleotides long. RefSeq lists it as uncharacterized. NCBI's taxonomy places the organism in Eukaryota, Viridiplantae, Streptophyta, Magnoliopsida, Poales, Poaceae. The record is from RefSeq and is a predicted model, not a curated record. The transcript is spliced from 2 exons.
AGAAAAGCUGUUGAACAUUUUCUGGUUCUCCAGAAUAUAUACUGAAUGCAUAUGGUGUACAACGAUCUACACCAGACAUGAACAUUGAAAAUGCAGCAACUGUAAGUUAUUGAUCUUGAAUGGUACCGUUUGGAUUAAGCUCAGCUAAAUCGUGCCGGUGCGUAGUACUGAGACCUGAGCUCACCAAGGCACCAAUUCUCUGGAGAACAUCUUCCCAGUUGCGGAUUCGCUGGGACUGGUAUCUCCAAGCUCUAUAGUCAGAAUCAUGAUGCAGUUAUUGUUUUUGAGCAAAUGUUUGUGCAACUUUUCUUUUGCCUUGAGUGGUGAAGUAAA